This 1403-nucleotide ribosomal RNA is filed under the name Hafnia alvei ATCC 51873. Its description in RNAcentral is "bacterial LSU rRNA". It matches the Rfam family "Bacterial large subunit ribosomal RNA", at positions 1546 to 2925 of the family's 2925-position model. The record is from RNAcentral. Lineage: Bacteria; Pseudomonadati; Pseudomonadota; Gammaproteobacteria; Enterobacterales; Hafniaceae.
CAUAUCAACCCUGAGGCGUGAUGACGAGUCACUACGGUGAUGAAGUAGUUGAUGCCAAGCUUCCAGGAAAAGCCUCUAAGCUCUAGGUAACAUUGAAUCGUACCCCAAACCGACACAGGUGGUCAGGUAGAGAAUACCAAGGCGCUUGAGAGAACUCGGGUGAAGGAACUAGGCAAAAUGGUGCCGUAACUUCGGGAGAAGGCACGCUGGCGCGUAGGUGAAGUCCCUUGCGGAUGGAGCUGAAGCCAGUCGAAGAUACCAGCUGGCUGCAACUGUUUAAUAAAAACACAGCACUGUGCAAACACGAAAGUGGACGUAUACGGUGUGACGCCUGCCCGGUGCUGGAAGGUUAAUUGAUGGGGUCAGCCGCAAGGCGAAGCUCUUGAUCGAAGCCCCAGUAAACGGCGGCCGUAACUAUAACGGUCCUAAGGUAGCGAAAUUCCUUGUCGGGUAAGUUCCGACCUGCACGAAUGGCGUAAUGAUGGCCAGGCUGUCUCCACCCGAGACUCAGUGAAAUUGAACUCGCUGUGAAGAUGCAGUGUACCCGCGGCAAGACGGAAAGACCCCGUGAACCUUUACUAUAGCUUGACACUGAACAUUGAGCCUUGAUGUGUAGGAUAGGUGGGAGGCUUUGAAGCGUGGACGCCAGUCUGCGUGGAGCCAACCUUGAAAUACCACCCUUUAAUGUUUGAUGUUCUAACUCCGGUCCCUAAUCGGGAUUGAGGACAGUGUCUGGUGGGUAGUUUGACUGGGGCGGUCUCCUCCUAAAGAGUAACGGAGGAGCACGAAGGUUAGCUAAUCACGGUCGGACAUCGUGAGGUUAGUGCAAUGGCAUAAGCUAGCUUGACUGCGAGAGUGACGGCUCGAGCAGGUACGAAAGUAGGUCAUAGUGAUCCGGUGGUUCUGAAUGGAAGGGCCAUCGCUCAACGGAUAAAAGGUACUCCGGGGAUAACAGGCUGAUACCGCCCAAGAGUUCAUAUCGACGGCGGUGUUUGGCACCUCGAUGUCGGCUCAUCACAUCCUGGGGCUGAAGUAGGUCCCAAGGGUAUGGCUGUUCGCCAUUUAAAGUGGUACGCGAGCUGGGUUUAGAACGUCGUGAGACAGUUCGGUCCCUAUCUGCCGUGGGCGUUGGAAGAUUGAGAGGGGCUGCUCCUAGUACGAGAGGACCGGAGUGGACGCAUCACUGGUGUUCGGGUUGUCAUGCCAAUGGCAUUGCCCGGUAGCUAAAUGCGGAAAAGAUAAGCGCUGAAAGCAUCUAAGCGCGAAACUUGCCUCGAGAUGAGUCUUCCCUGAGACCUUGAGUCUCCUAAAGGAACGUUUAAGACUAAGACGUUGAUAGGCUGGGUGUGUAAGCGUAGCGAUACGUUGAGCUAACCAGUACUAAUGAUCCGUGAGGCUUAACC